Molecule: long non-coding RNA, 571 nt
Organism: Vitis vinifera (wine grape)
Lineage: Eukaryota; Viridiplantae; Streptophyta; Magnoliopsida; Vitales; Vitaceae
Exons: 3
Source: RefSeq, a predicted model, not a curated record
GACAAAUAUUAUACUUUAAUUUGAGGUUUUAUGAUUGAUUUAUAUUUCUAAUUAUAUGCUACUUUUGUUUUUAAUGUUUUAGCUUUCAUUGGGUCUUGGUAGUGAUUGAGCCAAGGAAAAUGAUAGUCCACUAUCUUGACCCUAUGCAUCACAAACCAUGUGAGGACUUAAAGGAUAUCGUAAACAUUGUCCAAGGCAAGAAGGAGGGUUCGAAUGUGGCUACUUUGUUAUGAGAUUCAUAAAAGAGAUAAUUUUUUAUCCUACAAUUAUUGCUUCAAAGGUAUUACAAAUUUAAUGAAUUGUACAUAGUUUUAGGCUUCCAAAUGUUAUGCAUUUUAAUGUUAUUUUCUUAUUUGAUUUCAGUUUGGUGGUAAAAAAACAUAUUCUCAAGUAGAGUUUGACGAAAUUAGAGGAGAAUGGGCUACUUUUGUGCUACAACUAAUCAUGAAUCAUGUUGAUGCAUCAUGAUCACCAUGCAUGGUAUACACUUUUGGGAUGGUGGAAUGGAGAAUAAAAAGAAAGAAGAAGGCAACAAGAUUUUGGGUUUUUAAAUGCAACUCUUAUGUCAUAC